CCAACAGUAGCGUGAUUCGCAGUAGUUCCUCGCCUUCCGUGCGGUACACUAGGUGGUGCUUGGAUAGCUUUUAAGAGUAACAUUAAAUUCCGCCAACGUCCAGAAGAAGGCACGGUGAUCAGUCAAGUAAAAUUCUGUUAAAACAUACGUAGACAACCUGGUGUAUCAUCACGUGUACAUAAGUAUAUUGGAAGGAAUAAAGUGGAAGCUGUGAAUAGUCCGUGACAGUGGCAGAUUCAGGGAAUCCAAAAACACUGGAGUGAUUUUAACGUGCUGAAGUUUGUGUGCUGAUAAAAUUCUUGGAAGAUUCACAGCAAGAACAGUUACACGAGGAGACAACCGUCAUCUUUGAGUACUGUCGCACAAUCAAGGAUUGAGGGGCCGAAUACUCAUCGCUUAAGAAAAAAACAAAUCAGUUAUCCUGUCUCACGGACUCCAUCGACUCCUGGGAAUUUGAUACGUCGCAGAAGUCAAGUUUUGCUGUCGUCAAGAUAAUAUACCUACUCUUAAUAUCCUAAGGCAAAUACGCAAGAUUUUUACUCAGACAUGUCUCACCUAGUAGUUGUACCAGAACUCUAAUAAUAUUAGUUAGUUAUCUAGCGACCUUCAAGCAAAUCAUUUGCCAUUCACACGGAUCGUUGUCAAUUGAACUUCGGUAAUUGGAUAAUCAGCUUCAUCCUGUCUACUGUGGUCUCGUUGGACCAGAUAUCCCGUGAAGAAAUAAUAAAGGAGGCUGGAGAACAAUCUUUGAAGUUACUGCAUAUCUACGCACUCAUCUACUUAAUUAACUGGGUACUAAAUAGGAUGAACGCUAUCUCAUGAGAUGAAGCGCAAAAUUAAUUAAUCUAUCCACACACAGACAGGAAGACUUUGUUAAUUUUUCUUUUCUCAAGAAUUUCUGACUUUUUAAUAGUAUUGCCCUUAAAGGUGCAGCAUUUUCCUCAUCAUCGCUUGAGUGGUCCCAAUUGCGAUUCAGAUGGCCUACAAUAAAGAAGACUCUCAUUGGUCCAGCGGUUAAUCCAAAGAGACACGAUUGGUCCUCAGAUACGGAUCAUCGCCGGAACCCCCUGGCUGACUCGCGCAUUCAUUCAAACACUCGCACAUCGAAGAACAAAAUUGAUUUUAUCAUAUUGGAUACAUCUCGGUCACUGAAGAAAGUCUUCUUGGUGGAAUUACGUGGAUUGAAGAAUCACAAUUUUGAGGAUCAAGAAGCAUCACAGCAUACGAAGAUUAACAAAGAAGACGUUCACUUUUCGAGGAUUUUUCUCUUUUUUUGAGAUCUUCAAACUGACUACUGACUUGGAAUAAUAUUUUGGCAGAAUCUUUACUAUACUCUUGGCAAGAUCAAGAUACUAUUGAGACCUAAUUCAUCAAUCAACUGAAUGGCACAGAUCUAUUGGCUGUUGCUUUUCGAAAGACGUUAAAACUCACUAUCGAAUUCAACUUCGAGUUCAUCCUCAAGGAAGUGAAGAGUGAAAAAUUGGAUUAAAUUUCUCAAGUUGUACCCUGAAAUUAGAUAACACUUUAUUGGUGUCUCCCAAGGCGAAAACUACUUUUUAUUGACGAUCGUUAGAACUUCUUGAUCGUGUGGCCCAACAUAAUUGGCAUCUGGUUAAUUCAAUUGACGGAACGCCUUUUUCCCAGUGAGUUUUAAAAACUUUUUUUAUACGCCAUGGAGCGAAGGAUUUUGAAAAUGUGGUGACAAGGUACCAGGCGAAGGCCUCCAAUGACCAAGACACUAACUUGUGUGUGAGCCAUAGUCGUUAGCAAUAUUCUGUAACGAGGAAUAAUCGCAAUCGUCCCUUUGAACCCGUGAUUUGAUACUGCAGAUCACCUUCAGGAUAUAUCGUAUAAUUUUUCUAAGAAAUCCGGAUAUCUUUAUCAAGAAACAAAGAAUCAAAAGGAGGAGUUGUGAAGAGAGAAGAUACUGUUUGAAAUACAAAUUUUCACCAGAAGUGUUUCGACGUUUGUAUUUAAAAAAAUACAAUUUCAAAAUCGAUCCAUCAAGGAGGAUACCAAAGAGGAUUUAGUGAAAUCCCGAGAACAGUCAUUCAGUCACAUCCGGUUCCAAGUCAUUUCUCGUUUCUAAGCAAGAUGCAUUGCAGCCAGGGUGUUGCGAUGGUGUUCGAAGAUGCGUUCAUCGUUUUUUCACGUUUUCUCUCCUUAAAGUCACGAGGCUGCGCCCUCUUGGAAACUCAUCGACAACGUGAAACUACUGGUAUCAAAAAGCUGUACAACAGUUUUUUUGUGAUGUUCUAAAAAGAGGCGAAUACGACAAUAUCGACCCCGUCCAGCGUGCAAGAGCCGCCCCAGGGGAUGCGUAGAUCCAUAACGGGUAGAUUUUCAA
Cephus cinctus (wheat stem sawfly) is the source of this 2347-nucleotide RNA transcript. It is a transcript of the gene named probable inactive tRNA-specific adenosine deaminase-like protein 3, with no coding region annotated. The record is from RefSeq and is a predicted model, not a curated record. The transcript is spliced from 3 exons. Lineage: Eukaryota; Metazoa; Arthropoda; Insecta; Hymenoptera; Cephidae.